Molecule: RNA transcript, 4320 nt
Organism: Patella vulgata (common limpet)
Lineage: Eukaryota; Metazoa; Mollusca; Gastropoda; Patellidae
Gene name: transcription initiation factor TFIID subunit 7
Exons: 9
Source: RefSeq, a predicted model, not a curated record
AUUAUUGACGUAGAACGUUUCCGGUUGCAAGACGUGAUAUUUAUUUUUCUCAUUAAUUAGUUAAUUAUCGUUAUUUAUUUUUAAUUAAAAGGCAAGAUGAGUAACAAAAAUGCAGCUAAGAGAAGAGAAAACCCUGCUGAUACUGUAAAUGAUUUGGAACAACAACUUAUUCUUCGUUUACCACCGGGUCCUGCCAUGGCAUUACGUCAUGAUGUUCAAACCGGUUCAUUAACAUUAAAAGAUAAGCUGAGUAUAGAGAUGCAGCCGGAUAUGAGGCAUGCUAGAGUUCGAUAUGGUGGAGAAAUAUUUUCAGCAAAAUUAGUUGACCUACCUUGCAUAAUCGAUUCCUUGAAAACGGUUGAUAAAAAAACAUUUUAUAAGACAGCAGAUAUAAACAAGAUGCUGAUUUGUACAACAGAAGAUGAUUUAAGUCAGGAAGAAAGUGAUUCUCCAAAGAAAAAAGAUAAAGAACAGAAGAAAUUCAUCUAUAAUCAUGGAAUAACACCUCCUUUGAAAAAUGUAAAGAAAAGACGAUUUAGAAAAACACUGAAGAAAAAGUUUAUGGAUCAACCAGAAAUAGAAAAAGAAGUAAAGAGAUUAUUUCGGUAUGAUGCUGAAGCUAUUGAUGUUAAAUGGGAGAUAAUUCGAGAUGAAGCUGAAGCCACUACAUCAGGUCAAAUAAUGGAAGGAAGUACAUCUUCUAGAAAAAUACCAGCUGGUUUGUUACAAAAUGAACAAGAAACAUCUAUGGAUGUUGCCUCAUAUUUUGGAGAAGUAAGUAGUUCUGAAGAUGAAGACAAAGAUAUAAAUAUUAUGGAUAGUGGUGAAGAUGAGGCAUCAAGAGGUCCGUCCACACCUCGAAUAUCAUUCGGAAGUUUAGAUAGAACAGCGAGUGAAAGUCUGGAUGUACCUGAAACAGAUACAGAACAUUUUGAGACCUGAAUGAGGAUUCUUGUUGAUGGAUAUCAGUUAUCGACGUUUACAUUCCCAGAACUUUCAAGGUUUGGAAGGAGACAAAAAGAGUUAAAUUAGAUGUAGAUGUUAGAUUAGAUGUGAAUAAUGUACUGUAUGUAUGCUUAUGUCUGAUUGUUUAAUUAUUAUUAAAAAUAAACUGCACACAAUUUAUAUUAUUGUUAUUCAAUAUUUGUAUUUAAUAAAAUAUUGAAAUAUAUUUAGAUCUUUUUUUUCUCUCUGCUAACAGCCUUGGAUUAACUAUUUGUUAAAUAAACUUGGGGCACUACAGGAAAGGGGGGAGGGGGUGGUCACCAUUGAUUGUUUUUAAGUGCCAGAUUUUCCAAGGUUCAAUUGGGGUGCAGCUGCUGGGCCCUGGAGAAAAGGUACAGACAAUAUUGACAAGACAAAUCAUAUGUAAACAUAUAUGAAUUUAUAACCAUCAUUAAUAGAUUAUAUUAUUGAAUAUAUUUAGACUUGAGAAUACAAUACAAUUAGAAUCUGGCAAGCGAAAUGGCAUGCUCAUAUGUUUAUUGUAAUAAAUUAUGGCAAAAUGAUUUUAAUCUGUUAAUUAAAGAUGUGUUAUGUAAGAUUUAGAUAGAGAGCUGACAGUUCUCGCUAUAAUAUUUAAAAAAAUAGAUAAUGAAAAGGGAAUAUGUUAAAAAAUUUCUGUCAAAUUACUUCAAUAUGGGUGGAGUUACAAUAUCAAAAGAAAGUAGGUUUAAUCAUUAACUAGCAAUCAUGUUUGUAUUCAAAGCAUAGGAUGGUCUAGACCGUCUAGAGCUUUGAUUAUGGGCUUGAAUAAAUUAUUUUUAUAACAUUUGAGGUAAAACGAAAGAACUACAUUAGGCAACUUUAGCUCUUACAUAAUGCAUCUUUAAUUUGUAUUUCAAUGAAAUAAUGUAGGAUUUUGUAAUUAAAAACAUAGAAUAAAGGUAUUUCAAUUUCAGCAUACAUGUAAGUUUUGUUUCAUUUUGAAAGAUACAAGAUCAUUUUUCAGUUUAGUUUGUUUUUAACUUUUUAUUUUGAAUUACAUUUUGAUGGGGCAUCAUAAACUUUUAUGUGCUUAGGGUAUUUAAUCCAUUCCUAAAUGUUUGCUUAAAGAUACAUUAUGGGAGAUUUUUUAUAGAGAAUUGGCCAUUCUUGCUAUAACAGUUCAAAAGUAGAUGAUGAAAGAAGAAUUUAAUAUAUUGAAAAUUUCAGUCAAAUUACUUUAUUCUGAACAUAGUUAUCAUCGUUGUAAUAUUUGACUAGAAAUGGUAGUGAAAUGUGCCUUCACCUUGGCCGAUCGUUUGAUUGACAGGCGUUAACUCCACCUACAUAUCUCGAUUAUCAAGUAAAGUUUUCAAUGGCAUGCGGAAACGCUCUACAGCAGCCUCGCUAAGUACAUUCUAUCAUUUAGCCUCGAUCUAACUGACGUAUUCUCAUCAGGAUAUGCCAUAUUUGAAUUAAUUAAUAAGUGAAAUCCUAUUUAAAUCCGAGCUGUAGCCGAGCCAUCCGUGGGUCUACAGAGUUGAUUUUGGUCUUGUUGUUUAAAUAAAGAUCUAAUUUAAAAUUUCUAUAUCAUCUGAAGCCUAAAUUAAGACUUGCAAUAAUCAGAUUUUGCUCUUGCAUAAUGUAUGUUUAAGGUUUUAUGCAUUUCUAACUUUUACCAAUAACUUCUGCAGACAUUUUUAUAUAUACUAAUAGUCACAAUAUUUGGGUUCAGAUUGAACUCUGGAACAGAUAAUGCCAGUCUGGAUACUAUAAAAAAAAACCUGAAAUAAAUGUGUACAAGAAAUAGAUGUGCCCUGACUACAUUCAUAUUGAUUCCAUUACACAUUUAUAGCCUGUACGAUAAACUAAUCAAUGGUGAGAUUAAUUGGUAUUUUGUUAGUGUCCUUUAUUAAAAUAGAUAGUGGUGUGAUAAAGGAUAUGACUUGUUCUAAAUUUGAUAUUGUUAGUCACAUUAGGCCUCGUAAAUUUCUUGUUUUACAGUAUUUCAGAUAUGUUGAUUAUUAGGAAAUGACACAUACUUCAUUUAUUCAGUGACUAAUCAUUAGCAGAACUGCACUAAUUUUCUGUUUGAUUAAAUGUCCACGCUUUUCUUCUGACACUGUCAAACAUACAAAUUUUAUUCUUAAGCAAAAUAUUCAUCUAAGUGAUAUCUAGAGAUGAUAUUUACACAAUGUUGAUCCAACACAAAUGACUAUUUUUUGUGCAUAUUAACCCCUAAUUAACAACCUUUUGCUGUUUUUAAUGACUGUAUUGAAUAAGUAAGAUUCACUGCAGCACCAUAUUUGUACACAGCAAAAGAAUUUAGAAAAAAUAAAUUCUGGGGGCAUUAUGAUAUAUAGGUUUGUCCUUUAAUACAUUUACUGUCCUCCUCGUGUGGAUUGUUAUCUUUUGUGGUGUGGCAAUUUUGUAUGCUUUAUUUUUAUCAUUUUUUCUGACUUUGUAUCCAAUGGUUAUAUCAUUUUCUAAUAUUAUUGUGUAGUUUUGUGUUUUAUAAUUGUAUACAAUAAAUAUUAGUUUUAAUUGCAAGAAAUGAAUAUUUUAAGUAAUGUAAUUAAUAUUUAAAUUAUAUCUCUGCAUGAUCUAAAUAGAGAAACUGAGGUAAAUUUUUGAUAAUUAUAUUUACUGUAAAAAGCAUGUGUACACCUAUUGCAUCACUGACUAUGGGUCUAACCAUUGCUCCUACUAUAGCAAACCUUUCAUUUGUUGAAAUAUUUAAAAAUGCAUUAUCACUUUGAAGUCUUCUCCAGUUGGUAAAAAUAAUUUUUGAUUGAUGUGAUAGAAAUAAUUAAAGAAGCAUUAUUGCUUGUAAAAAGUCCAGGCCCGAGUUCACAAAGCAUUCUCAGACUUAAGUUACGAAUUUACUCAACUUUCAAUCACUUUAUGAGAAAUAUCUUUGAUCCAGAAACACAAAACUUUGCACAUAGAUUCUUAUUGAAUGUAUUUGAUACAUUAAAACAACAAAUUUUUUUAUUAAGCUCUAUAUUUUAGUUAAAACAAGGCGAACAAUUUUGAGUAAAUUCUUAACUUGUGUCAAAGAAUGCUUUGUGAACUGGGGCCAGGUCUAUUAGUUAAAAAUAGAUUUUGAUUUGAUGUGAUUAGAUUAUAUAUAGUGCAUCAUUAGACCCUUAGUCUGACUGUUUUUUAAUGAUUAAUUGAUUAUAUUUUAUGUGUAUAAUAUAGUUUUUUGACUUUUACUAUUAAAGUUUUAUACAUGUUCUUACAGGUUUUCAACAGUAUAAAUUAUCAGAAUUGUCUAGUCAAUUAACACAAAUAAGACAGAAAAGACAUAGAAAGAGAUUAGAGAGCAUGGAAGCUAACAUUGAAAAGGAGAAAUUACAAGAUGACUAUGAUGAUCAGUUAUCUCAAGCUGAC